Molecule: unclassified non-coding RNA, 363 nt
Filed under: uncultured Helotiales
Lineage: Eukaryota; Fungi; Ascomycota; Leotiomycetes; Helotiales
Description: sequence contains ITS2
Rfam family: 5.8S ribosomal RNA (bases 1-154)
Source: RNAcentral
AACUUUUGACAAUGGAUCACUUGGUUCUGGCAUCGAUGAAGAACGCAGCGAAAUGCGACAAGUAAUGUGAAUCGCAGAAUUCAGUGAAUCAUCGAAUCUUUGAACGCACAUUGCGCCCCUGGGUGUUCCGGGGGGCAUGCCUGUUCGAUCGUCAUUACACCCCUCAAGCCUAGCUUGGUGUUGGGCCCCGCUGCUCACGUAGCGGGCCUUAAAAUCAGUGGCGGUGCCGUCGGGCCCUGAGCGCAGUAAAUAUCCUUGCUACAGGGACCCGGUGGACGCUGGCCAUCAGCCUCACUUUUCAAGUUUGACCUAGGAUCAGGUAGGGAUACCCGCUGAACUUAAGCAUAUCAAUAAGCGGAGGCU